AAGCUUUCAUAUUUGGAAUGCAAUCUUUCCUUCCUUCUCACGAAAUUAUUUGUUGUCUUUGGUUCCUUUUACUUUCAAUUUAUUAAUUUCCAGCUUGUCACCAACCUACACCACUUACAUUUUCUUUUUCAAACCCUUCUCAUUCCCAGUAGGCUAAAACCAUUCCAUAUCCAAUUAAAAAUUCCAGCCACAUACUUAAACCACCCACUUUUUACCCAUUUAUACCCUAUUUCAUUUAUCUAACCCUCUUCAGAUAUGCCCAACUCCCAUAUGCCCUAAACUUUAGCCAAGUAAACCCAUUCCAGCUUUAGGUCGAUGUUAACUUCGUCAAGACCCGUGAGUUAUGAACCCAAGUACUUUAACUCCUAUUCCAGUAUUUAUUAUUUCUCUAGAUUAAGAGUAUGAUUUCGUCAACUCACAAAGUCAAAUCAACACCAAGUCAAAAAAGACGUCGUUUGAGUUAGUGUGGUUAGACAUACAGUUGGAAUUUCGAAAGGAUUGAUUGUCUAAUCGGUUUUCUGUGAACACAUUGGCGUGCCAAGUGGGGAUUUUUGUUUGGUUCCGUCAAGGGAAGUAGUAACCAGAUUUAAAUGUCCCACGCGGUUGAGGGCAUUGGUUCGAGCUAGGCUGUUUUAGAACGUAAAGCUGUCGGAGUUUUAAAUCACGAACGUUUCGUAGGUUAUUCGAUCAACAAGGGUUAGUUAUAGAACGUUCCAUAACUAAUUUACACAAGGAAGAGUUGGUGUCCGAGGCAUCUUUGGUAGCUAUAGCUAGCUUAUUGGAAAAGAUGAGUUCAUCUAAUUUCGAAGAUCGGUUCAAGGACGAAAAACCCGUGCUUGAAGCUGAGCUAAAUUUAAUUGAUUUUCCUUCAAAUUUACUUAACUAUUCUUCUUAUUUAAUUGUCUUCAGCUUUUACUUUUUACACAUUUUUUCUCUGUUUAUUUCAGGUUUCAAAUUUUAUCCCCCCAAACUUCUUGGGCACGACAACUGCCCAGACAUAAAUCUGGUCGAGAGAGAAAUAAUUUUCAGUAAACCCAGUCUCUGAGGGAUCGACCCUACUCCCUAUACUACUCAAAUUUACAAAUUAGGUGUAGGAUUAUAUUGGUGGAAUCGACAACCAUCAACUAGUUCCAUUUAAACCACAUGCUCAACAAUUUGUAGAGGUAUGAACCCACUUUUGAGUGUCUUCCAUUGCUUGGUCCCUAGGGGUGAUCUACCUACACAUAAAAGAUCACAUCCUUUAUCAUAAUAAUGUCAUCUAACCAUGGUUAAUAUCACUAGUGCCAUCCCUUUUCUUGCAUUGAUGAGAAGUUCCUCAAUUCUGUUCUCUUUUGGCAUAACGAUUUUGGGGUUGACAUGUAGUUUGUAGACCUCAAGCACGAUUUCUCUAAUAGUGUGUAGUUUGUAGGAACUAGUGAGUUAUAUUGUAUCUCCUUUGCAUCAAGGUUCUACCAUUAACGUUAGUUAAAGUGCAAGCAAUACCAAAGCCAACAUUUCCUUUUGUCCAAGCUAAUAGGCAACAAUCAAGGCUUACCUAUUCCUUCCUUUCUCAUUGAUCAAAGUGUUUUUUUCAUUGUAAAACCUGUUGUAACGACUUGGUUUUUAGUGGUGUUGGAAAAUACAGUUUUGGAACCCCGUCUUCGUAAAAUGAACCCAUAAAUAUUUUUAUUAAAUAUUUAUAGAGUUAUAUUAUAGGUGAAUUAAAUUUUGGAUAAAUAUUUUUUUCUGAAUUAAUAGUUAACUAGAGUUCAAUGACUAAAUUGUAAAAUUCAAUCACUAUAGAUUUUUAAUUAGAAAAAUGAAUUAAAGACUUAACCUGUAACUAACUAAAGGCCUAAAAAAUCAAUUAGACCAUGCUUAAAUAAAUGUUAGUGGACGGUUGAUUAAAUGGGGGCAUUAGUGUAACAACUUAAUUUUCAGUGGUGCCGAAAAAAGCAGUUUUGGAACUCUAUUUUUAAUGUUUAAGUCUGUAAAUAUUAUUAUUUAAUAUUUAUGAGGUUAGUAUAAAGGUUAAUUAAAGUUUGGUCCUUUAAUUUUGUCAAUUGGAUAGUUAAUUAAGAUACAAUGACUAAAUUAUAAAAGUGGCAAAAGUUGUUCGCUAUGAAUUUUUAAUUAAUUGGAUGACCAAUUGAGCAAUUGGAUCCUUCCAAUUAUGUUAAAUGGUGGUGGAUGACAAUUGUACUUAAGGGUGAGUGUUCGAUCGUAUUGAAUCGAAUUGAAUGAAAAAAUUUCGAGUUAAUCGAGUUGAUAAAUCGUAUUAAUACGAUUUGAAAUUUUAUCAUCCUAACUCGAUUUGAAAUUUUCUCGGAUCGAGUCAAGUGAGAUGGAAUUCGAAUCAAAUCAAAUAUAUUUGUUCGAGUUAAAUUUUAAAAAAUAACUUUGGUCUUUUUUUUUGGAAUUAUAAAGUACUAGGUUAGCCAAGAAAAUUGUUUAAACCAUGGUGGUUGAAAAUAAUGAAGAUAUUUUUAAAAAAAAUUAGAAGCGGAUAAUCUAAAAGAAUAGGUUGGUAUGACCCAACUUUAAUAUAAGCUCUCUGAAUUUCAUCAUGCAUAUUAACUUGAUACUCAUUUAUUUGCUUACAUAAUCCAAGAUCACAUUCUAAGUUGGACAAAUCAAGUGUUUGAUCUUCAACUGUAGGAAUUUUAGAAGGACAAGCCUUAAAAAGAGUAAACCAUGAAGGUGAUACCUUAAUUUUUUACACUUGGAGGAUGAAAAUAAAAUUAAUAAAUAAAAAGUAAUCACUCACUAAUUAUUUUUUUAAACAAUAUAGGUUCUAACCAUAUAAUGCUCUUUUUAAGAUAAAGCAUAGAACUAUCCAUAGCGCUUCUCCAACCCACAAAUAGAAGGAUAAUAUGCUUCAACACACUCAAACCCACGUCAUCCUGUAUUAACAACAAUGUCCAACAAUCACUCACUAAAUUUAAAUAUAAAACUAUUAAAAAUUUUGAUACUAACUUAUUAAUAAGAAAGGAUAAUAACAAAUUCCAGAGAAUUAUAUAUUUGAUGAUAAAAAAAACAAUAAAAAAUGGGAAAGUAGAAAUCUAACCAUAGUAAAAAGAUAAAAUAAAUAAAUGACGGAAAAAAUCGAUGAUUCAAUGUUAAUUUAAACAAUUUAUACAUCAUUUUAAUCUAUAUUAUAUUUGAGAUUUUAAUUGAGUUAGUGUUAUCCAUUAAUAAUUCAAUCUUUCAAUUACUAAAAAUUCCUUAUAAACAAUCUAACAUCUAUAAAUCCGCUUGCGCUAAUAAAUUUGUGGGACUCAUUGUAUAUAAGAGAAUAGCUUAUAUUAAGAUAAUCAUAAAAUAUAUAGUUUUUAGGUACCAAUAAAAUAAUGUCACAUCAUCAAUUUUUAAAGACAUAAAUAUUAUUCUACACUCAAUCAUAUACGAUAUCAUCUCUAAUUUAAUUUAACUUUAAUUAAAACAAUUAAAAUUUGGAGGAAGUUGAAACUAUAUACCAAGAAAAAACAUAACCAAAAAUAAAUAAAAUUUGAAAAUAUUAAAAAUUUAAAAAAAAACUGAUAAAAGUCAUAAGAACAAAUUGAACCAUUAAAAAUCUAGAAAAGAAAAACACUAGUAAAAAUGAAAAUUUGAAAAAAUUAUAACCACCAUUGAUGGAUUUUUCAAAAUUUGAAAUUUGAUUAAAAUUAAAAAAGAAAAAAAAAUGUAUCUGCCUAAAAUUUAAAAGAAUUAAAAAUAAAAUUGGCAGCAUAAAAAUAAAACACGAUUUGAAAGCAAACAAAGCCUAAAUAUCGAACUCUAUCAAAGUAUGGGGACUGAUAGGAUAUUUUAACCAAAUAAAAAUGAUUUUUUUUCCGUAGGUUGAAAUAUUUGUCUUUUAGGAAUCUAUUUUAUGAAUUUAAGAAAUGGGUUUCAUGCAUGAAUGGCUAUAUUAAAACGUGGUACAUAGUUUUUAUACAAGGAUAACCAUGUGAAAUAAUUGGCCCAUUGUGAUUAUGGGGACAUGUGGUCUCUAUCGACGCCAAACAGGCAAACAAAAAGAAACAUUGAACUCUUUGUAAAAGACGGCCAUUACUAUUGCUAUCCUUAGUCCUACACAGGAUUGCUAUUUAAGUGAUUAAUGUCUUUUUGGUAACGGUUAUAAUACAAAGGAUAGAAGUUGGGAAAUAAACAAAAAUCAUGCAUGUAUAAGGUUAAAUAAAUUAAAUUGAUGAAUGUGUGGUGUUAUAUUUGAGGAAAGAGUUUAUGUUUAAUGUAUUGAUUGUAUUUGUAUUGUUAUAUUCAAGUUUCUGCAUCAUCCAAUAUUUCAAGAUAAAGUUUAGUACAAUUUGAUCUCUUCAAAACUUUAGUCUUAAUCUCGAGCAUGAUGUUAUAUGAAAUAGGCUCAUGCAAUCCUUAUAAGAUAUAUAAAGAAGAGCACACUUACUUGUAUAGCUGUUGAUACUUAUAAUAAAUAAAUAGAGCCUACUCAAAAAUAUAAAUUUAGUAGAUGGUAGUGAGUAGGGUUGUAUCUACAGAGACUGGUGAUAAUUUUAUUUCGUUAAUAAUAACAAAUCAAGUAAAAAAAAGGUUUUUGAAAUUAAAAAUUAAAAUUAUGUAAAAUGAAAACAAUUAAAAUUAAAGGAAAAUCAAUGAGAUGAAGCUCUAGUAAAAGGUAAAACCUCUCCAUUUGGUUUACUAGUUUCAUUAUCGAUGCAAAGAUAAUUUCAAUAUUCUUUAGUUGUCAACGUCACUCCUAGCAACCACUCUCUCCUUAGCUUGUUGAUAACCAAGAAGAAACUUGUUGGAAUUAUUCCCUUUAUCAAUAAACAACCCUAUAACUUAUGCCUAGUAUUUAGCUUACUGAUAGCAUUAAGAAUGAGAGAGACAUAACUCUAACUAACAAACACACACAAGCAAUAAUUAUUUAGAUUAGAUGGCAUGUCCGCACAACAUAGAUUGCAUACACAUAGCUUAUAUCCAAUUAUGUUGUUUUUCACAAGCAUUAGAAUCAAUUAAAAAAUUAUGGGUUUAACUAUUCUAAAUGACAAGACAAAUAUUCUAAGUUACCAAAUAUGGGUCAUACACUUAACACAUCCGAAUAUUUGUAAUUAAAUCAGAAAACAUGAAAAUACUAGAAAAAAAUUAGAUGAAGAGCAAUUAGAUUUCACAAGCUUUUAGAGUCAAACUUUAAAGUUCAUUUGACUAGAAAAGAGAGUUUAGCAAUCCGAAUGCAAAAAAUAAUGAAAAUUGCAAUAAGAUUAAAGUUGGUCAAAAGUAAAAUUUGUCUCCCAACCCUCUACUAAAAGAUCUUGUUUAUAAAGUUUAAUUGACCUAGAUUAGGUUUACACGCUUCUGUGAGCUAAAAGUCUUGAAAAAAGACGAAAACACACUUACUUUUCAGAGUUGGAAUGGUUAAUUUUGCCUCACAAACAAGCGUCGGUGCUAGGGCUCACCAAGACUUUCACCCAGCACCAAAUCCUUUCAUCAAACUAGGUCAUGGCUCCAACUCUCUAAGUUGCAAUCAAAUGUCCCUCCUUCCUUAUUCCAGCGUUUUGCUUGGUUUAAACUCCAUACUUUGCUUCCAAUGGUUCCCGAAUUCCAUCCCAAGCUUGGAUGCACCUGAUUAAAGUCUUAAAAUACCUAAUUAAUUAACAAAUACUAAAUCAUAUAAAAUUAAAGCGUAAAUAAUUAAAAAUGCUAAUGUAUGCAAAUGUGACACUAAACAUGCAAAUUAAGCUAGGACAUGAUGUUUUACUUGAGAAUCAAUGAAAAGUAAAGUAAUAAGGACCUAACAUAUAUGAAUUAUGAGUAGUUAUCACAAAUACUGUCAAUCCAUCACCUUUUCAUUUCCGACGUCUCUCCACCUAGUUACCUCACAUUAACUAAAAUAGUAAUCCUAGCUGACAACCUACCAAUGUAUCGUUUGUACUUAGGAGGUAGUGUACUUGAUGACUAAGACCCAUACCAAGCCACUCAUUAUACGAUCACAUUGUAAGAACUCUCUCCCAACCUCUAGAUAUCCUAAACCUUCAUCAUCAGUGGCUCUCCACGCCACAUAUGGUGUGAACCACUAUAAUUGUAACAUCCCUAACACCCCUUAAGUAGGGAAUAAUAUUAUUUCAAGAAUAUACGUGUUAGAAUUUUUGAAGUAAAUAAAAUAGGAAUUAUUAGUGUUAGUAGAAGGUAGUUGAAGACUAGUGGGAAUUGAAAAGACUAAUAUAUUGGAAGAAAUUAAUCUAGAGUAUAGACUAAAUUGUAAUAGUGUGAAAAGUGUUAGGGAAAAAGUAUGAAAAUCAAAAGUGUAAAUGAUUGAAUUGAAUAGAGUGGAAAUGGGGGAAGGACUAGGAGUGUAAUUAUAACAUGAGAAUGUCAUGAAUUAUUGAGGGAAUUGUAGAGGAAGUUCAAUGACAAAAUAGUCGAUACAUAAAUAAGUAUUUAUGAGAAAAAAAUCUUAUAAAUUAGUGGAAAAUUUUGAGCCAUUGGAUGAAAUUAGAAAUUGAGAACAAACAUGGGCCAUUAGAUGAAUAUUAUGAUGUUGGGAUUAUUUUAUUAUAUUCUUAUAAUUUAAUUAUUUAAUUAAUAGAUUUUUAUGAUGGAAAAAUGUAGAAUUUUCCAUCAUUUUUCCUCCAUUCUCACACCACCUUCAUUCAUGUAUGAAGGAAACUUUCAUUUUAUUCCAUUUUAGUCCUUUUCACCAUAUUCAAUUAUUCCAAACUCAAUUUCUUCCAUAGACUCUUAGUGAAAUCAAUAAAGCAACCUUAUAGUAACCUUAGUUUCAUGUAGAGACAAAUGAUGUUCAUCUUGGUGGAGAGAGAAAACUUAAGUUAGGGUUUAGUAUAAAAGACUAAGGUAAGGAUGAUAAGGUUUCUUUAUGAAUUUCAUGUUUUUUUUAAUCAAAAGUUCUUAAAAAAUGAUAUGUGGUAAUUGUUUUGAUACUAAAUCUCACGUAUAUGUGAUAUGUUGAUGAAAAAAAAGAGAAGAGAGGUGAUCAACAAAGCCUUGUGAUACGGGGUUGCGCGCGGACCAAGAUCGAGUUGCCAAGUCACGAGAAACUCCUACGAAAACUCUAAACAAUUAGAUCUGAAACGAAACAGAAAAUUAAAAGAUUAGAUUUUUAAAUUUUCAGAUCUGAAAUAAAAUCCCCAAAACCAGUAAAGAAUCAAAUAGAGAAUAGAAAUAAGUGUUAAUAAGGAAUCUUGAAACCCUAGAAGAGAUUGCGAUUCUGCCCAAUUGAACACCCAGAUAGUUUUCCCCAAAUUUCGACAAUCUAAUUUCUCCCAAAAAGAGUAUGGAUGAAUCGGCAAGAACCCUAGAAAUUGGGGAUUUUUGGGCUAAUUCCUUAAGAUAGAAAAAGGCUGAAAACACAAUAAGAACAGAAAAUAAAUUAGAUAAAGAUUCGGCACAAGCAGAAAUAAAGAAAGAAUUGACAAUAAGAAAUUAAAAGAUAAGUCCUAAGAAGCCUUGAAAUCUCGAAAGAUCUCACAACUCCCUUCAAACGGCUCUAAUCUCCCCUCCAAAGAAUAUCAAUGGCAAGAAGAAGGUUGAAGAUGGCUCCCACAAUCACAAGAUUGUUAAAACAACUUCUAAAGAAAACUCAAGAGAGAAAUCUUGGAGAAAACUCAAAGAAAAUUCUGCUCUCAACAAAUCUGAAAUUUUAAUAAUAAUGAUAAGUGUUUAACAAGGUGGACAGCCAUGCCUUUAAAUAGGCAUUAUAACUAGUCCUAAUCUAAUUAGAAAACUAAAAUAAAAAAAACUCCUAAUUAUUUUAAUAUGGAAAUUCGGUCAAAGGUCAUUUUAUCUGGGACUCUUGGACUGAAUAUUGACAUAAAAAUUUAAACUAAGUAAAUAAAUAAAUAAAUAAAUAAAAAUAAAAAUAAAACUUUACAACUUGGGCCACUUUGACAAUUUGGCCUGAUUUUCAACUAAGUAUGGAUAGAUUUCUUGAUUGGGCUGGGAAUUUGCUUAUUGGGCCUCGCCUUCAAGAAUUUGGGCUUUUGUGACUCGUAUCAUUCCCCCCUUCCUCAAAAAGAUUCGUCCUCGAAUCUGAAAAAUCAAAUGAACUCGACUUUCCUCUAUCGAACGGGACUAAUGGCAAUUGAGUCCACUGAAAAGAAUAGCCAUGAGAUAGUAAAUAGCAACGGAAACAAGCUUGUAGUCCAAUCAUAAGCAUAACAGAACAGGUAUAACGCAUGUGAAUGGACAGAUUCAGAUUACCAUGCAAACAAUCUAAUUUACUCACCACUGCCUCGUCAAAUAUUUGAAACAAAGAUGGACAUGUUUUAAGGCAUUCAGUCGUCUCACAUUGUUCCCACAAACCAUGAAUAAAUUGCGAGUAAUAAAUCAAAUGGUAAACAUAAUCGUCACAAGUAGGUAUUUGAAAAGAUUCACAUGGUUCACAGAGUUGCAUAAUCAUACCAUGCAUUAAUCGACGGUCUAUAGAUUCACUCACACAUGCAUUAUCAAAAACAAGAAUCUUUUUAUCAACCAUCAAAAUAGAUAGAUCAUCAAUAAAUAAAAUAGGACAGUCAAGCACGUUUCGAUCUAAGUGUUCAUCAACACGAUCUUUAUCACUAUCCGAGGAGUACAAAAGUGUUUCAAAGGUUUCAAGCAUCUUACCUCGAUAAGCAGAAGAAUAAGGGUUGAUUUUACCUUUUUCAUUUAAAACAAACCUUCGCUCAUCGGGGGCAUAGUGUAGUCGAAUCUUCGUUGUUGAGUUAACGUUUGUCAAAUGGAACUCAAACUUCAUGUACAACCACAUAAACUGUUUAAGGCACGAAUAUAAAUUGAAAACAAAUUUGGAAAAUUUCGUUACCUUAUUCUCCAAAACAGAUUUGGACAAAUUCGAGGAUUUUACACAAGGUAAAUCAAGAGAAUAACAAAUUACGCUUCUUUUCGUAAGGACUUUAUCAACCACAAUCGAAGAGUAACAAUUAAUCGGAUCAAAAUGAGGGGAUCUUUUAAGAACUAAGUCACCAAAAGUUUUAUCAAUAAUUUUCAAAUCUGCACUGGACUCGGUUUCUAAAAUUUCCUUACCUCGCUUACCUUCGGGAUCAUGUAGUGUGAUUUCAUCUUUGCUUAAGUUGAUCGUAUGAAAGCGUCUUUCAUUUGAGAGGUAUUGAAGUUGAAAGUUAUCUUUCGAUCUUUCGGGAACCUGAAAAGUAGCAAUACAAGAAAAAUUCAUAUCUUGGUUAGUGGAAACAUUCCUCACUAGCCUUUCCUCGUCUUUUUCUUUUGUUUCUUUUUCUAACUCAUUUUCUCUUCUUUCUUCAACUUCUUUUUCAAUUUUCUUUUUUGUUUCACAUUCCUUUUCACUCUCAAUCUCUUUUUGCUCUUUUUCAUUCUCUUUUUCUUUUUCCUCACUUGUUUUAACAACAGAAUUUUUCAGUUUGAUUUGGUCCUCAUGGACUUGUUCCGGAGUGAGCGGCACUAAGGUGAUUUUCCUUCCUUGAUACUUGAAAGAAUACCUAUUGGUACGACCAUCGUGAGUGACUUUUCGAUCCAGUUGCCAUGGUUCUCCUAGCAACAAAUGGCAGGCUUGAAUAGGUACUACGUCGCACACGACUUCGUCUUGAUAUUUACCGAUAGAAAAGGCGAUGCGCACUUGUUGAGUGACCUUAAAUUGACUUUCGUUGCUAAGCCCUUGUAGUUGAUAAGGUCGUGGAUGCUUGGUAGUGCUUAAGCAAAGCUUUUCCACCAUCGUCGUGCUGGCUACGUUCGAGCAACUUUCACCAUCAAUAAUAACUCUACAAAGCUUACCUUGUACAUGGCAGCGAGUAUGAAAGAGAUGUUCUCGUUGCUGCUCGCUCUUUGGUUUUGCCAAAGAAGGUUGUCCACGAUCAUGAAAAUCAUCAUCCAUUCUAGGGACACGUUGAGGGUUGCACCUAUGGGGCUGGUUAUCCCUAUCUUCCUUAAUUGGAUCUCGAUAUUGAUGUUUUUGAUUCACUCGCACCUUAUUGAUAGUAGCAGUCAACGCUCGAAGUGCAACAGCCUGUUCGUCCAACUGUUGUUGGAAUUUUUUAAAUAUGUCACUAUUAUUAUCACAUGUAGACAUUUUUUUUUAAAACCUGCAAAACACUCAACACUCAAAAAUAAAAGUUAUCAAACCUCACCGUUAAUCACUCAAAAAGAAAAAAAUCAAAUUCUCAAUGAGGUCGAAUUCAAUCUUGUGAGUUCUUUAUCAGAGUUUAUAUCAACCAAUUAGAGAGUCUGAACCAAACUACCAAAGAAUCCUAAUUUGCACUAGGAUGCCAAAAACUGACGAGACACCAAUUGAUUCGUGUUGCACCGAGGAAGAAGUUGUGCACACGUUUAAAUCCUACUAACACAAGAAACAAGAAGGUGUUAGAUAACGUAAAGGAAGAAUAAAGGUAAACAAAUGAAAACCUACAGCUAAGAAUCAAUAAAAAUUGCUGAAAACAGAAAACCCGAAAACCUGCGGAGUAACUUGACAACUUCGUUCGAGGUGUUCCCGAUCUCAAAAAAUCACAAAAUUAAAUCUGGAAUGUCUUCAAAUAUUUAAUUUUUGAUCUGGAAAAUUUGGGCACCAAAUUCAACCCGCUGAAUAUUUUUUUAAUUUUUUAUUGGAUUUCGUCUUUUUUCAAUUUUUUGACUUUUUCGACUUAUUUUUUUUUGCGGUAAAUAUUUUUGUAUAUUCAAUAACAGUGCCAAAAAUAUGUAUGUAAAAUUUCAGAUCAAUCAGAAAACGUUUACCCACUCAAAUGAAUUUUUUUUCGAAAAUUUUUCUGGGUAAAACUGCUGUUUGUAAUUUAAAAAAUAGAGAUCAGUUUAGAAAUCAACCAAGAACACCCAAAACGCCCAAAAUCUGAUACCAAAUGAUACGGGGUUGUGCGCGGACCAAGAUCGAGUUGCCAAGUCACGAGAAACUCCUACGAAAACCCUAAACAAUUAGAUCUGAAACGAAACAGAAAAUUAAAAGAUUAGAUUUUUAAAUUUUCAGAUCUGAAAUAAAAUCCCCAAAACCAGUAAAGAAUCAAAUAGAGAAUAGAAAUAAGUGUUAAUAAGGAAUCUUGAAACCCUAGAAGAGAUUGCGAUUCUGCCCAAUUGAACACCCAGAUAGUUUUCCCCAAAUUUUGACAAUCUAAUUUCUCCCAAAAAGAGUAUGGAUGAAUCGGCAAGAACCCUAGAAAUUGGGGAUUUUUGGGCUAAUUCCUUAAGAUAGAAAAAGGCUGAAAACACAAUAAGAACAGAAAAUAAAUUAGAUAAAGAUUCGGCACAAGCAGAAAUAAAGAAAGAAUUGACAAUAAGAAAUUAAAAGAUAAGUCCUAAGAAGCCUUGAAAUCUCGAAAGAUCUCACAACUCCCUUCAAACGGCUCUAAUCUCCCCUCCAAAGAAUAUCAAUGGCAAGAAGAAGGUUGAAGAUGGCUCCCACAAUCACAAGAUUGUUAAAACAACUUCUAAAGAAAACUCAAGAGAGAAAUCUUGGAGAAAACUCAAAGAAAAUUUUGCUCUCAACAAAUAUGAAAUUUUAAUAAUAAUGAUAAGUGUUUAACAAGGUGGACAGCCAUGCCUUUAAAUAGGCAUUAUAACUAGUCCUAAUCUAAUUAGAAAACUAAAAUAAAAAAAACUCCUAAUUAUUUUAAUAUGGAAAUUCGGUCAAAGGUCAUUUUAUCUGGGACUCUUGGACUGAAUAUUGACAUAAAAAUUUAAACUAAGUAAAUAAAUAAAUAAAUAAAUAAAAAUAAAACUUUACAACUUGGGCCACUUUGACAAUUUGGCCUGAUUUUCAACUAAGUAUGGAUAGAUUUCUUGAUUGGGCUGGGAAUUUGCUUAUUGGGCCUCGCCUUCAAGAAUUUGGGCUUUUGUGACUCGUAUCACCUUGAGAAGGGAAAAGAAGUAGUAAAAGAGUAAGGAAGGAGGAAGAAAGCUCAUCUAAGCGUUUGAUUAUAAGUACAUCAAGAAUUUUUACUUUACCUAAUAAAAUCAAAGUAUAAAAUUAUAUUAGACUAGUUAUAACAUGUUUAUGUGAUUAAUUUAUUUAUGAAUUUUUUUAAUAUUUAAUAAGGAAUUAAUUAGAGAAAAAUGUUGACAUCAAUUGAAUUGCAAUUACAAUGUCAUUUGAUGUUGUGUAUUGAAAGUAUAGAAAAAGGGACUAAAUUGUAAAAUGUAUAAAAUUGAUAUGUGAGUUAGACAUUAUGUUGAGUAAUUAUAUGAAGUGUCUGUAUUAGAAAGACAUAGGUUAGGUUGAUGAGCGGAUUUUUGUUACAUAUUUUAUACCUUAAUUCACUUACAUUUGCACUGUUGUUGAGUGAUUUUUAGUUAAUUUUUCAAGUCAAUAGGUCCUUUUUACUACUAGUUGUAGAAUGAGUUUUAAAUUAUUUUUAGUAUUCUUAUGUUAUUCUUAAUAUUUUUUAUGUUUUUGAAUCAACAAAUUUUUGGAGAUCUUUUUGUAGGCAUUGGACCAAGUUGGAUGGUAGAAAAGUGGAGGCAAAGUGAGGAAAAAGCUGAAAAAUAAAAAAAUAAAAAAAAAUUAUUUUGAAUCAAUUGGGUUUUUGCCUGCCUUUUAAAUAGCAAAUGCAAGGGUGCUCCUUAGUUAAAAAGGAUAGAAAGGUUUUGGAGUUUUGAGUAUAUUUGAGUUGAAGAUUAUUUCGUAUUAAAUCUCUUAAUUUUGUUUAAUGCUUUGGUUGCCAACUAUAAGUUAAUGGGUUAGUAAUCAAAGUAGGAGUAAAACUUGAUCUAGAAUAACAAUGCGGUUUAAUUUUUUGAUUUGUAGAAGGUAGAAAAUGGGUAAUUGAAAACCACAUACGAGAUUGAUAAAUUAUGAAGCUAUUUACGACACUUAAUCUAAAUCAUUAACAAGGGAUUAGAUUGGAUGUAUUAAUUAUUAUUAAUUGAAAGAGUAACAUAGUAAAUUGGGAUUGAAUAGGGUAUUUCCGUGUUCUAUUACUUUGUUUAUUGCAUAUUCAUUCCUUUUACUUAUUAGUAGCCUAGUUAACUAAUGAGUUGACUAAGUCUGUGAGUUCCAUCUUCAAUACAUUUCCUGACAAAUUUAGUUCACUGACAAUGAUACUGUAUCAUCAUUUUGAGGCCUAAUUGAAUAUUUGUUUUUCCACGAAUGAAGUAAGUGUAAAGAGGGGACAGUUAGAUUCAUAGAACGAACACCUCACUCCCAAGUACAAGAGAAAGGAGAGAGGGGAGGCAUCGAAGUAAGAAGGGUCCUA
RNAcentral lists this long non-coding RNA (13118 nucleotides) under Gossypium barbadense (sea-island cotton). RNAcentral's name for it is "long non-coding RNA (GBAR_LNC021803)". The record is from RNAcentral. Lineage: Eukaryota; Viridiplantae; Streptophyta; Magnoliopsida; Malvales; Malvaceae.